GAGAUGGUGGUUGCUAAGCAAAAGCUUGCCUUGAAUCAUGAGGCGUGAGGUCAAAAUGCAGACGGAUUAGAAACAGUUCAACGGUUGGUGUUAAUGCCCCUUCGUUUCGUUUGGCGGUUAGUAUGGACAGUUCAACGGUUUGAAAAGAACCGUCUGCCCUGGACUGUGUAGCUUCACGGGCAACUGGAGGUUACAUGCACCUUUUCCCUGUGGCAAUUUUUUUAUCCAUAUAAAAGGGUUUUCUGUGUCAACUCUCAGUUGUGAAAUAAGAUUUUUUUAAAUCUUUCCCUGCCACAUUUUUGUGAGGAUGAUUUCAUUGAUUGCAAUUGUUACUUGCUUUUUAUACAUACAUAUAUACACGUAGAAUCUAAUAUUACUCAACACUAAGGACUGUAAAGCUUCAAGUAACGUUAAUAUUGCAGCACAUGAUAUAUCAAUGCAUGUUGUUUUCCCAUUAAGGUUGCAUGUAAUCAAACCUGCGCUGUAUAUAUGCCCCCAAAAGGAGGGCAGUGUUGAAUACAUCCCAAGGCACAUGGAAUGCAUUUUCCAUUCCCAAAAGGUAAUCAAGGAUAUGUGCCAGGAGGCCCGCUGGAGUGAAAGAUAAGCAGAAACUCCUGCCUGUGUAACAGGUGGUUUUUCUUUCAUUUCUCUGAUUAUGUGUUUACCUAACCCACUCGAAAAUAUGGUAGUGUGACCUCAUGCGCACCGUUUCAUGAUGACUAUAAAGGACACCCACCCAGGGUAGCAUUUUCCAGGGCACUACGAUGGCACAUGGCUAUGUCAACAAACUUUGUCAAAGCACUGUAAGGUACUGUGUGGCCGCAAAACACCCGAGUAUCAAAAUAUUUUGAAACACCUGUUAUCCGUUUAAAAAUAGAUGAGAAGGGAUUGAAAAACAUCAAAAUCGACCCCCUUCUACUGUUAAUUGUUCCACCACUUCCUUGCUAAAGACAGGUUUGCCUUCCCUUACCCCCAGAAUAGAGUACCCAACCCCCUCCUGGAAAAAACCUGGCUAUAAUGUGCAGAUCUUCACACAGUACAGUGGACUAUGAACUUAACACAAAGCGCAAAUUGUAUGUAUGCAACAUACUGCUGGCUAGUGCUCUGUGCUGUGUUUGUCCAGAGCACUGAUGCCUCACUGCUGUCAUUCAGUAGUUUUGUUGGCUGAUCUUGUGAGGCUAGAUACUGGGUCCUGCCGUAGCGCAUGCAGUGAGGUAUUUCAUGAGUAUGCAUGUUUGACGUAUGUUCGUUCUGAAUGUGCAUGCCAGGUUGGUGUAGCUGGGGGAGUCAGGUUGGUGUAGUGCCUCUUUCCUUGCCUUCCAUCUCUGCAGCCCGGGUUCGAAUCCCACCUAGGUCAGCACGUGGAUUUGGUUUUCAGUCCCUGCCUGAUUCCAUGUGUAAUCUUUAUCUGGGGUUUCUUUCCACUUCUAAAACUGAACAUUUCUUCGUUGUCUUCUUCACUGUCACUUCAUCGUGUAAUUGACGUACAUGUGCAGUCAGAUGAACAGAAAUAAAUAAAUUUUGAAGAGCAUGCCAUGCACGCCGUCGAGGUAAAAUUUGAUACAUGUAUGACUGAAUGCAGGCAUUAGCAAUAAAAGUUUUAGCUUGAGGAGUCAUUUUGAUAAUCAAGUGAGUCCGUCAGUUAUGAGUAUGAUUGUAAGCCAGAAGUUGACCAACUUGUGUUGACGUUGGUAUAUUCGAAAUGAUGACUGUGUAUAUAAUUGAUACGGUGAGAAUGGGAACGACAACGUUUUUGCAGAUAUAUAUUUUGUACUACCGUGGUCUGUUGUGUGUUUGUAUGUUACCACUAGAAGGCAGGUCUGUGGCAUGUGAAAGAACACUACCCGUAUGAAAAUGUGUUAUUUACCUAUCCAUAUGUCAUCCAUGCUGGUGUAUUUGCCAGUUCCUUUGACAAAGUUGCUUGUAGUUUUGUCUUGUCCAUUCUUCCUGGUUGGUAGUUGUUGAUUAGAGGAUGUUUACACUUUUGGUCUCUGGUCACAUUGAGGCAUUCACCUUUGGGGGAUAAAAAAAAUACCAACAUGCUUACCCACCACCUUGCAGGCUUGUGAUAAAUUCCUUCCUAGCUCAGUCACAAGUUGAAUCGCAAGUCAGUCGCAAGUAAGUCAGAUGACCAGCCAACCUGGAUGACUUGUGGUUGGGGGCGGGGUCUGGACCACAGCACUGUCUUCAAGGUUUGCAAGAGUCACUCGUGAACAGGUGUAAGAAAUGCCUCUGCCAUGCCUCCCUAACUUAUGGGCAAAGUUUCACGUCUUCCAAGAGGAAACAGAGCUGUGGUUGCUUUUUUUUUCCCCUGGUAGCACAGGGUAACGAAAGAGACUUUUAUCUAAACGCCUUGCCCCGAUCAACCCCAGCAGUGCCCUGUAGGCACCUACAUGAAAUGAAAUAUUUCACCAAAUGUCUAAAUCGGGUCAUAAAUGAUGAGUUGAAGUAACGGAUCCAGUUUGGCUGGCUCAUUUUGACAUUUUCACCAGGUGUUUAUUUCUGAUGUCAUGUCGGUAAAAAAAAAAGGAGUCAGAGGCAUAGUGUAAUGUCAUGCAAUCUGAAUAUCUCACAGUCAGCAGUAUUUUAAUGUCAAAGGUUUUGAGGGGAAUUUAUCUGUAAGCUCUACAUGCAAUUGCAUAUGUUCCACAUAGUGCAAGGCUGACAUGGAAGAGACACACAUGCACUUCACUACAUUAUUUUGUGUUCUUACAUUUGUGGAAUUCUGAAUUUUAAAUCUUCCCUUGGUGCUUGUGCUCUACUUUUUAAUUCCCGGUUGACUAUGCUGCUUUGUCUGAAUCUUUAUGCCUUAGGGGCGCGACGUGCUUUACCUUGGAAUAGUGCAAUAUGGGUGUUCCAAUAUGGGCUGUGGUAUAUUGGUGUACAUGUACAUUGCAUUGUCUGUUGCCACCGAAUCGACCUGAGGUAGAACUGAAGUUGGUUCCAAGAUGAGCACAUGAUGUGUUAUGUGCCAUUCACUGACCUGCCACUCUGUGUGAUGUGACAGUUGGUUUUGAUGUCGGGGAAAUUCCAUCAAAAGAGAGCACUGUUUUGGACCGAUUAAAUUGGAAAUGGCAGUUUGGUUUUUGGCUCUACUGGGGCAUCUAAAUGCAUGUACAUUGUAACUGGGAACUCAGUAGGAAUAAAGGAGGAAAAUUCCACAUCUCGCAAGAUUUUGCACCAUCUUUUCGAUGUCUAAAGGCACAUAUGUAAAACGGCAAAAAAGAAAAGGAAAUUUAGCUGAUCUGAACAAAAGUUGUAUGCCUACAUGAAUACUCAUUUGCUAUUUUGACACAUGUUGUGUCAUUGAACAAUUUUUGUAUACACUUUAACCAGUGGCGUAACUAGGGCCAUUAUGUUGGGGGGGGGGCACCCGGGGUGCACACAUUUUUCAAGGGGGCACCAAAAGACAAAGAGCUGCAACAGAGGUUGUUCCAUGGAUUUCAAAUAGGGGGGGGGCACUUGGCGGGGAUGCUCUCCCCCCCCAUAGUUAAGCCACAGAUGUUAACACAGUACAAAAAGUUGCAUGUACAUAGCUGGGAUGUUCGUAUAGCUGUGUUUAAUUCAGAGUGGCUAAGCCAAUAUACAUACAAACAGUAAAGUUCAAACAGUUGAUAUACAUGUAGCAUGGUUGCCCACUACUGAGGUGAGAGAUAAACAUGUAAAAUUGCAAUACAAUUUGACCUAGAAUUCUGUUGUCGUCAUUUAUGGUGCAUGGUCUCAGCAUGUAUGCCUACUUGCAUCAAGCACCUCACUGGGAAGGUUGAUGUAGAUAAGCCAUCUUUUUUUGGUAAAAUGGGUAUUUUGUGACAACAGUGUGUCCAAUAUUCAUAACAUUGGUGUCACAGUGAUAUGUGAGACAAUACUAAAACAGGCGAGAAGAUGCGGGGGGGGUUCGAUUUUCCCCCACCUCUUUCAGGGUUAAACAAACAGCAUAGCAAUCCAGAUCAUUUUCUUUUUGCAACUUUGCAAACCACAAAAAGUUCCUCCACACAUUCACAGAGAAAAAAAAUGGAGUACGGCCCGUAUUGUUUUAAGUUUUGACAUUCAGUUAUUUCCGCACGAUUUCUUUGUGUAAUGUAAAGUGCAGUAAAAAUUAUCAAAAAGCUGUGCACAUCUUAGUGAUAUUACUGGAUCUUUUGUUUGUUAGUGAACCAUCGGACAAGACUACCAUUUUGGAAUGAAAUAUUUCCUGAAAACUGUUGUAUCUCCGUUCGGUGAUUUGAAAACUAUAGUGUUAUCCCUAACUAUAUUUUUGUAUGUUAGCUAGUUGUUUAUCGGCAGUUAAAGUACGAAGACGUGAUUUCUGUUAGUCUUUAUGCGAGAGUAGUGUCAUGUUUGCCUCUGUCUUUUUACAACGAAGAACCGUGUUCUCCUGGGAGAACAGCAUGAUUCUUGUGAAACUUUGAAGAAGUGGAUGAGACACUAGUGUCACGCUGUAGAACUUGUUUCUGUGGAAGUGUAUAUACAGCCCUCCAAGUUCCACGAUUCCUAAGAUAGUUUUAUGCUGUGAGGAGUUAUAGUGCGCUUGUAUAUCUCUGAGGACAUGUCAUUGGAAUCUGUGUUUCUGUAUGUCAGAGAAAGUCUCUUUAAUAAAUUAUGCCAGUAAUGAGGCAACUUUGUUGUUUUAAAAAAAUCUAUUGAUUAGUUAAAUGAAUUGCUAUUUACUUUUGAUUUUCUUCCUUGUAAAUUCGCCGAGUAUGAAAUAUGGAGUUACUUCAAGAAUGGCUUUAUCUUCUCUUGUGAUCAGUUUGUAAGAUCUUUAAUUCAUUGUUCAUAGGCAGUGAAAUGUGAAGAUGAAACGGUGGACUUCACUCAGUGAGACUUCCAGUGGGUCCUUUUUGAAUUGUGAAUUUUUCCUUGUCCAUGUAUGGCAACAAAUAUUUGCAUUCUUGAGAUAUUUUGAACAUGAAAUUUACCCAAGAAUGUGAACAAUAGAGAUGUCAUAGGCUCUGGGUACUUAUUCAGUGGUGAGGAUAGUACAGAAAGUUUUCAAUUUAUUAAGCUUAAAAUUUAUCAAGUGGAAAGAAACUUUAUUCCUUCCUUGAUUCGAUGAUUUAUAACAGGUAACAAUUGUAAAUAUUUUCUGUAUUUUAUUAACAUCACCUGAAAGGUCUGAUUAAAACCAUUAGCUUAAACAGAGAACAACCGUCUUUGACUUAAUUAGUAUAUGUGGGAAUCUCAAUCAAAUUCUUGGUCAGAAAAUACAGAAUGAAUAAAUAUGAUUACAAUAUUAAAA
Long non-coding RNA from Acanthaster planci (crown-of-thorns starfish), 5239 nucleotides. Lineage: Eukaryota; Metazoa; Echinodermata; Asteroidea; Valvatida; Acanthasteridae. The record is from RefSeq and is a predicted model, not a curated record.